Molecule: long non-coding RNA, 1603 nt
Filed under: Pogona vitticeps (central bearded dragon)
Lineage: Eukaryota; Metazoa; Chordata; Lepidosauria; Squamata; Agamidae
Description: lncRNA (ENSPVIG00000023859.1)
Source: RNAcentral
AUGUGGUGGGAGAAAAAAAAACCUCUGGGAAUUUGCAAGUGCCAAGAAGGACAGCUGAAGGACAGGACUCUAAAAUAUUUGCCUUUCUUGGGUAGCAUGACCUUUCUACAGCUAUGGCUUUCUUUUAUUCAGGCUUCAAUCGGGGUGGCUACAACCAGAACCGCUGGGGAGGUGGAAACCGUGACAGCAACAACAACAACCGGGGGAACUACAACCGGAACAACCAACCCCCGAGCAACUACAGCCCAGCACGCAACCAAAACACCUACAAGAGCAGCAGCAAUCUGGGACCCUCCCCUCCAGCCCCUGCUGCUAAUCCUCCUCCCAGUACUUAUCCUCCAGCGCCACAGUACGCCCAGCAGUGGAGCCAAUACUAUCAAAACCAGAGUCAGUGGCCUCCAUACUAUGGCAGCUACGACUACGGGAGCUACGCGGGCACCUCGCAGGGUGGCUCCGGCACUCAGUGAUGACGGCGUGUCAUUCUUGGAAAGGAGCAAGUCGCUCUGCCGUCUUCGGCAAGUUUUUAACUUGAUAGCGGGCAUUUAUGAGUCUCCAGGGAUCUGGGAAGGACAUUGCCUCUCUGCCCUUCCCUCCUUGCCGUAGUUCCGGAGGGUGGCUGCAUUUUUACCUGUACAGCUAGAGGCAUGUUUUCCUUCUCUCUCUCUGUACCAUCCCCUCUUGAGGAAAUUACAUGAUUUCUUGUCUCUCCUUGUUGAAAAUAGUUUUAUUCCUUUUUAAAAAUUACUCUUGAUUCUGAAGAAGCUCGAGUCUUCAGCCUCACAUCCUUGUAUUUUUUUAGGCCACGAUCCAUCCUCGUAUCAAACGUUCCACAGUAGUUGGGGUGAUCCCUUUUGCAGCCUUCUUAGGACUUGCCACCACCCUCCCACCCCACCUCCCAUGACUCCCAUAAAUUCCAGUCAUUUUGGAAACUCUUCCUGCAGUUUGUUGUCACCUGUCUUUGAGGUGUUUUUAUCUGUCUUUUCUGCAAAUAACUAUUAAAACUGGAGGGCAAAGAGAUGGCUUAUCUUAUGGUAAUUACAGUUUUGGGUUUGUUUGUUUUUUUAGAUUUUUCUGUAACUUUUUACUGUGGGUCAGCAGCUGUUAAUAUUUUCAUCAAGGUAACAAUUCUUUUUUGCUCAAUAUAGGAGAGGGGGAAAAACAAAAGAGGGGGGAAAUCAUCUUAAAUGUGUAACUUUUUAUACAAUGUCUAAGUUUCUGUAACUUUGCACAUGCUUUGUGUUGAGUUGAAUUGUAACAGCUUUUUGUAUUUGGAGAGGAAAAAAGAGUGAAUAUUGAACUUUAAAAUAUUUGUCUUGCGUGUUUUUCCUUUCCUUUUCAACCUUCAUACUGUAUUCUGACUGCAACAUACACAGACACAAUGUUACUAGAUCUUCACUGAGAUUCCUGCCUCUUAGAACUUCUGUUUACUCACCCUUUUCUCCCAUUUGCUGUAGCAGACAGUAAUGGAGAAGGUUCAACAGCUGUCUGCUCAGGAUGGUGCUAAGCUGUUACAGAAAUACAUGAACACCUCUCCAUUCACAUACAAAAUGUCUUUGUGAAAAGACCUUGAGAUCCAAGACUCUCAUUGGUCCCUAAUUGCCCA